UGCCAUCUCCCAUUGUGAUGACACAGCCAAUGUCCCUCACCAGAGCCAAGCAGAUGUUGGUGCCAUGCUCUUGAACUUCUAAAAAUCAGCAGCCUAGCCGACACAGCAGCAGAAGAGGCCCCAGCACAAGGAUGGAAGAUGCAAGGCCUCUUGAGACCUGCCUGGUCUUAGAAUGAUCACAGUAUCACCUCUGCACCCUCGUGGUACUGCAGUCACAUGAUCAAGGGAGGAAGUAGAGUCCUCUCUUAAUGGAAGUUGCUGCAAAGAACUUGCAGCCAUAUUGACAGUUUACACAUGGUGAAGACAAUCCUGUGUUCCAUCAAUAAGUAUUUCUGAGUUCCCCUGAAAUGACAUGCCU
RNAcentral lists this long non-coding RNA (358 nucleotides) under Heterocephalus glaber (naked mole-rat). RNAcentral describes it as "lncRNA (ENSHGLG00000044196.1)". The record is from RNAcentral. Lineage: Eukaryota; Metazoa; Chordata; Mammalia; Rodentia; Bathyergidae.